Molecule: ribosomal RNA, 547 nt
Filed under: uncultured bacterium
Lineage: Bacteria
Description: bacterial SSU rRNA
Rfam family: Bacterial small subunit ribosomal RNA
Source: RNAcentral
UGGGGAAUUUUGGACAAUGGGCGAAAGCCUGAUCCAGCAAUGCCGCGUGUGUGAUGAAGGCCUUCGGGUUGUAAAGCACUUUUGGCGGGAACGAAAAGGACUGUGCCAAUACCACGGUUCGAUGACGGUACCCGCAGAAUAAGCACCGGCUAACUACGUGCCAGCAGCCGCGGUAAUACGUAGGGUGCAAGCGUUAAUCGGAAUUACUGGGCGUAAAAAGUGCGCAGGCGGUUUUGCAAGACCGAUGUGAAAUCCCCGGGCUUAACCUGGGAACUGCAUUGGUGACUGCAAGGCUAGAGUGUGUCAGAGGGAGGUGGAAUUCCGCAUGUAGCAGUGAAAUGCGUAGAUAUGCGGAGGAACACCGGUGGCGAAGGCAGCCUCCUGGGAUAACACUGACGCUCAUGCACGAAAGCGUGGGGAGCAAACAGGAUUAGAUACCCUGGUAGUCCACGCCCUAAACGAUGUCUACUAGUUGUCGGGGAUUAAUUUCCUUGGUAACGCAGCUACGCGUGAAGUAGACCGCCUGGGGAGUACGGUCGCAAGAUUA